UUCUUCUUCCUCCGGCCAGGUAGAACCCUGAGUAUAGAACAAGCAAACAGAUCAACAAACGAGCUUCAUUUCCUCUUCAAACUCUCAAGUACGGACUCUUCUUCCCAAAAAAAAGAAUUGGCACAUUUUUAACGGAUUAAUUAGAUAUAAGUUUCCACUAUGUCAUUCUAUUUCAGCUUGCUGACCAACAACUGCAAUCCGAGAGCGAACAGAAAAAUUCCCCAAUACAAGCAGAGAAAAUUCCACGCAUCAUUUGGUUCAUCCAUCCAAUGAAAACAGGUGAAUGUUGCGGUGUUGUAUGCUCGCAUGAUUAAUCAGCAAAUCACACACAAAACCACAAAACUUGAUCAGCAACUCACCAUUUCCCCAAACAAAAACCAUUUUCUGCUUCAAGACACUUCUCAGCUCCCAGCAGAAAAAAUUCUCCCCAGAAAAAAAAAGUUCUUCUUAGCUAAUCAAUCGAGUAAUCUGUUUUGAGCAAACCCAUCGAAUCCACCAACAGAACUAAUCACAAACAAAAUUGCAAAUGUUUACCGACGAUUCCACCCA
This 549-nucleotide long non-coding RNA is filed under the name Oryza sativa (Asian cultivated rice). Its description in RNAcentral is "long non-coding RNA (OSAT_LNC000275)". Lineage: Eukaryota; Viridiplantae; Streptophyta; Magnoliopsida; Poales; Poaceae. The record is from RNAcentral.